AAGCUCGUAGUUGAAUUUCGGGAUUAGUACGUCGGUCGUGCCUUAGGUACGUACUGGUGUUACUGGUUCCUACCUUCUGACGAACCAUCAUGUCAUUAAUUUGGUGUGGUGGGGAAUCAGGACAGUUACUUUGAAAAAAUUAGAGUGUUUAAAGCAGGCUCGCGCUUGAAUACAUUAGCAUGGAAUAAUGAAAUAGGGCGUUGAUCCUAUUUUGUUGGUUUCUAGGAUUGACGUAAUGAUUAAUAGGGAUAGUUGGG
This 257-nucleotide ribosomal RNA is filed under the name uncultured Glomus. Its description in RNAcentral is "partial 18S ribosomal RNA". It matches the Rfam family "Eukaryotic small subunit ribosomal RNA", at positions 624 to 886 of the family's 1831-position model. Lineage: Eukaryota; Fungi; Glomeromycota; Glomeromycetes; Glomerales; Glomeraceae. The record is from RNAcentral.